GACAGAGGGUGCAAACGUUGUUCGGAUUUACUGGGCGUAAAGCGUGUGUAGGCGGCUUCGCAAGUUGGAUGUGAAAUCCCUCGGCUCAACCGAGGAACGGCGCUUGAUACUGCAUGGCUUGAGGGAGACAGGGGUAAGCGGAACUGAUGGUGGAGCGGUGAAAUGCGUUGAUAUCAUCAGGAACACCGGUGGCGAAAGCGGCUUACUGGGUCUCUUCUGACGCUGAGGAACGAAAGCUAGGGUAGCGAACGGG
RNAcentral lists this ribosomal RNA (253 nucleotides) under uncultured bacterium. RNAcentral's name for it is "partial 16S ribosomal RNA". It matches the Rfam family "Bacterial small subunit ribosomal RNA", at positions 524 to 776 of the family's 1533-position model. The record is from RNAcentral.